AUGUUCUAACGUUGACCCGUGAUCCGGGUUGCGGACAGUGUCUGGUGGGUAGUUUGACUGGGGCGGUCUCCUCCUAAAGAGUAACGGAGGAGCACGAAGGUUGGCUAAUCCUGGUCGGACAUCAGGAGGUUAGUGCAAUGGCAUAAGCCAGCUUGACUGCGAGCGUGACGGCGCGAGCAGGUGCGAAAGCAGGUCAUAGUGAUCCGGUGGUUCUGAAUGGAAGGGCCAUCGCUCAACGGAUAAAAGGUACUCCGGGGAUAACAGGCUGAUACCGCCCAAGAGUUCAUAUCGACGGCGGUGUUUGGCACCUCGAUGUCGGCUCAUCACAUCCUGGGGCUGAAGUAGGUCCCAAGGGUAUGGCUGUUCGCCAUUUAAAGUGGUACGCGAGCUGGGUUUAGAACGUCGUGAGACAGUUCGGUCCCUAUCUGCCGUGGGCGCUGGAGAACUGAGGGGGGCUGCUCCUAGUACGAGAGGACCGGAGUGGACGCAUCACUGGUGUUCGGGUUGUCAUGCCAAUGGCACUGCCCGGUAGCUAAAUGCGGAAGAGAUAAGUGCUGAAAGCAUCUAAGCACGAAACUUGCCCCGAGAUGAGUUCUCCCUGACUCCUUGAGAGUCCUGAAGGAACGUUGAAGACGACGACGUUGAUAGGCCGGGUGUGUAAGCGCAGCGAUGCGUUGAGCUAACCGGUACUAAUGAACCGUGAGG
RNAcentral lists this ribosomal RNA (705 nucleotides) under Escherichia coli. RNAcentral's name for it is "partial 23S ribosomal RNA". It matches the Rfam family "Bacterial large subunit ribosomal RNA", at positions 2217 to 2916 of the family's 2925-position model. Lineage: Bacteria; Pseudomonadati; Pseudomonadota; Gammaproteobacteria; Enterobacterales; Enterobacteriaceae. The record is from RNAcentral.